CCUACGGGAGACAGCAGUGAGGAAUAUUGGUCAAUGGACGAGAGUCUGAACCAGCCAAGUAGCGUGAAGGAUGACUGCCCUAUGGGUUGUAAACUUCUUUUAUAUGGGAAUAAAAUGUUCCACGUGUGGGAUUUUGUAUGUACCAUAUGAAUAAGGAUCGGCUAACUCCGUGCCAGCAGCCGCGGUAAUACGGAGGAUCCGAGCGUUAUCCGGAUUUAUUGGGUUUAAAGGGAGCGUAGGUGGAUUGUUAAGUCAGUUGUGAAAGUUUGCGGCUCAACCGUAAAAUUGCAGUUGAAACUGGCAGUCUUGAGUACAGUAGAGGUGGGCUGAAUUCGUGGUGUAGCGGUGAAAUGCUUAGAGAUCACGAAGAACUCCGAUUGCGAAGGCAGUUCACUGGACUGCAACUGACACUGAGGCUCGAAAGUGUGGGUAUCAAACAGGAUUAGAUACCCGGGUAGUC
RNAcentral lists this ribosomal RNA (460 nucleotides) under uncultured bacterium. RNAcentral describes it as "partial 16S ribosomal RNA". It matches the Rfam family "Bacterial small subunit ribosomal RNA", at positions 338 to 795 of the family's 1533-position model. The record is from RNAcentral.